RNAcentral lists this long non-coding RNA (265 nucleotides) under Homo sapiens (human). RNAcentral's name for it is "HSALNT0220186". The record is from RNAcentral. Lineage: Eukaryota; Metazoa; Chordata; Mammalia; Primates; Hominidae.
CAUAAGAAUCGCUUGAACCUGGGAGGCGGAGGUUGUUGUGAGCCAAGAUCGCACUACUGCACCCCAGCCUGGGUGACAGAGUGAGUCUCUGUCUCAAAUAAGUAAAUAAAUAAAUAAAAGAAAGAGGAAGUCCAUGAUGACAGUAUUUUUUUUUAUAGGGACAUACUGGCCAAAAGUUCCUAGGAAUUCAAUCAUAUUUUUAAAUGUACUCAACGAAAUAGCCUGACUGUAAAAUUGGAAAUAUAGUGGGGUUUAUUGAGUCUAU